RNAcentral lists this transfer RNA (61 nucleotides) under Caudoviricetes sp. RNAcentral's name for it is "tRNA-Asn". It matches the Rfam family "tRNA", at positions 7 to 64 of the family's 71-position model. From Rfam's summary of the family: Transfer RNA (tRNA) molecules are approximately 80 nucleotides in length. Lineage: Duplodnaviria; Heunggongvirae; Uroviricota; Caudoviricetes. The record is from RNAcentral.
GUAGUUCAGUCGGUAGAACGGCGGACUGUUAAUCCGUAUGUCACUGGUUCGAGUCCAGUCA